Molecule: ribosomal RNA, 634 nt
Filed under: Trametes pubescens
Lineage: Eukaryota; Fungi; Basidiomycota; Agaricomycetes; Polyporales; Polyporaceae
Description: eukaryotic LSU rRNA
Rfam family: 5.8S ribosomal RNA (bases 240-393)
Source: RNAcentral
GAGGAAGUAAAAGUCGUAACAAGGUUUCCGUAGGUGAACCUGCGGAAGGAUCAUUAACGAGUUUUGAAACGGGUUGUAGCUGGCCUUCCGAGGCAUGUGCACGCCCUGCUCAUCCACUCUACCCCUGUGCACUUACUGUAGGUUGGCGUGGGCUCCUUCACGGGAGCAUUCUGCCGGCCUAUGUAUACUACAAACACUAUAAAGUAUCAGAAUGUGAACGCGUCUAACGCAUAUAAUACAACUUUUAGCAACGGAUCUCUUGGCUCUCGCAUCGAUGAAGAACGCAGCGAAAUGCGAUAAGUAAUGUGAAUUGCAGAAUUCAGUGAAUCAUCGAAUCUUUGAACGCACCUUGCGCUCCUUGGUAUUCCGAGGAGCAUGCCUGUUUGAGUGUCAUGGAAUUCUCAACUUAUAAAUCCUUGUGAUCUAUAAGCUUGGACUUGGAGGCUUGCUGGCCCUUGCGGUCGGCUCCUCUUGAAUGCAUUAGCUUGAUUCCGUACGGAUCGGCUCUCAGUGUGAUAAUUGUCUACGCUGUGACCGUGAAGUGUUUUGGCAAGCUUCUAACCGUCCAUUAGGACAAUCUUUUAACAUCUGACCUCAAAUCAGGUAGGACUACCCGCUGAACUUAAGCAUAUCA